CACAUGCAGUCGAACGAAGCACUCUUUUAGAUUUCCUUCGGGGAAGAAGAAAUUGUCACUGAGUGGCGGACGGGUGAGUAACGCGUGGGCAACCUGCCCCAUACAGGGGGAUAACAGCCGGAAACGGCUGCUAAAACCGCAUAAGCGCACAAGGGCCGCAUGGCCUGGUGUGAAAAACUCCGGUGGUAUGGGAUGGGCCCGCGUCUGAUUAGCUAGUUGGCGGGGGAGAGGCCCACCAAGGCGACGAUCAGUAGCCGACCUGAGAGGGUGGCCGGCCACAUUGGGACUGAGACACGGCCCAAACUCCUACGGGAGGCAGCAGUGGGGAAUAUUGCACAAUGGGGGAAACCCUGAUGCAGCGACGCCGCGUGAGCGAAGAAGUAUUUCGGUAUGUAAAGCUCUAUCAGCAGGGAAGAAAAAUGACGGUACCUGAGUAAGAAGCACCGGCUAAAUACGUGCCAGCAGCCGCGGUAAUACGUAUGGUGCAAGCGUUAUCCGGAUUUACUGGGUGUAAAGGGAGCGCAGGCGGUGCGGCAAGUCUGAUGUGAAAGCCCGGGGCUCAACCCCGGGACUGCAUUGGAAACUACCGAACUAGAGUGUCGGAGAGGUAAGUGGAAUUCCUAGUGUAGCGGUGAAAUGCGUAGAU
This 646-nucleotide ribosomal RNA is filed under the name uncultured bacterium. RNAcentral describes it as "bacterial SSU rRNA". It matches the Rfam family "Bacterial small subunit ribosomal RNA", at positions 52 to 695 of the family's 1533-position model. The record is from RNAcentral.